Molecule: ribosomal RNA, 1421 nt
Filed under: metagenome
Description: SSU rRNA
Rfam family: Eukaryotic small subunit ribosomal RNA
Source: RNAcentral
CUGAUUGAUCCUGUCAGCAGUAUUUGCUUGUUCAGAAGACUAAGCCAUGCAUGUAUAAGUUCACACCUUAAUACGGUGAAACCGCGAAUGGCUCAUUAAAUCAGCUAUUAUUUAUUAGAUCUUACAAGAUUACUUGGAUAACUGUAGUAAUUCUAGAGCUAAUACAUGAAUAUGUGCUUUGGUUCACGCCAAAUGCGAAUUUAUUAGAUCAAAACCAACCGGUUUCGGCCGUUAAAUUGGUGACUCUGGAUAACUAUUCUGAUCGCAUGACCUUGUGUCGGCGACGCAUCUUUCAAGUGUCUGCCCUAUCAACUUAAGUUGGUGAGUUAGUUGCUCACCAUGGUUAUAACGGGUAACGGAGAAUCAGUGUUCGAUACCGGAGAGGGAGCCUUAGAAACGGCUACCACAUCUAAGGAAGGCAGCAGGCGCGCAAAUUACCCACUCUCAGAACGAGGAGGUAGUGAAUUUAAAUAGCGAUGAUGAACUCUUAUGAGGCUCGUCAAUCGAAAUGAGUACAAUUUAAAUCCUUUAACGAGUACCAAUUGGAGGGCAAGUCUGGUGCCAGCAGCCGCGGUAAUUCCAGCUCCAAUAGCGAAUAUUAAAUUUGUUGCAGUUAAAAAGCUCGUAGUUGGAUCCAAGGUUAGGCAUGCCUGUCUGUUCUUAGUAGCAUGACUGUGUGUGUCUGCCUUUAUUAGUUGAAUGUUCAUUAUGGUGGUCUUCAUCGACUGCUAUGAUGUGCUCAACACGUUUACCUUGAAAAAAUCAGAGCGAUCAAGGCAGGCCUUCGUGCUUGUAUGUUGUUGCAAGGAAUAAUAGAAUAGGACUUCGGUUCUAUUUUGUUGGUUUUGAGAAUUGAAGUAAUGAACAAUAGAGACAGUCGGGGGCAUUUGUAUGGUGGCGUUAGAGGUGAAAUUCUGAGAUCGUCGCCAGACAAACUACUGCGAAAGCAUUUGCCAAGGAUGUCUUCAUUAAUCAAGAACGAAAGUCAGAGGUUCGAAGACGAUCAGAUACCGUCCUAGUUCUGACCAUAAACGAUGCCGACCUACAAUCGGGGGUGGUUUAUUAUAUUGACCCUCCCGGCUGUCCUCAGGAAACUUUAAGUUGGUUCUGGGGGGAAUAUGGUCUCAAGACUGAAACUUAAAGGAAUUGACGGAAGGGCACCACCAGGAGUGGAGCCUGCGGCUUAAUUUGACCCAACACGGGGAAUCUCACCCGGUCCGGACACUGGUAGGAUGGACAGAUUGAUAGCUCUUUCUUGAUUCAGUGGGUGGUGGUGCAUGGCCGUUCUUAGUUGGUGGAGUGAUUUGUCUGGUUAAUUCCGAUAACGAACGAGACUCUGUCCUGCUAAAUAGUCCAGUGGCAUCAAUCACUAUGUGAUUACAGCUGCUGUUACUUCUUAGAGGGAUUCGCGGAUUUAAACC